AUUUCAUCACCUGGGAGGAGAGGAUAGAUCUGUGGUGGUAGGCCAGCGAGCACUGCUGCGUGGGUCCAGCAUCUCCCGGCCUCCUUAAGGGACCACAUCAUGAGAGGGUGCUUGCAGGAGAUAUUGUAGGGGGAGGAGGUGUUCCAGCAAAGCCAGACUUUCCAGCUUUUUUAACAGGGUGAUGCUUUGACCUUCAGCUCCGCAUCUGUCCCUAGAUAUGUGUUGACAAACCAAGGUGUUGCAUGUGACUCCUUGGCUGCCCUGGUACAAUGCUGACGGCUCUGAAAACUGGCUCAUCAUGAGUGGUGUGUGCGGGAUGCUGCUGGAGGACUUCACACUGGCGAGUUUUCCUUCAACAGCCUGAUCAUCCUUACCUUCUCAUGACACUUCGGGGUCAGAAUACAGACAUCGGAGCUGUUAACAUCCAAGAUCCCUGACCUCUCAUGUCUGCCCUGGACACACCAGACUCUCAGUGAAGGGACCAUCUGGGGUGAAGUGUCUGCAUUUCAGGAAACCUACCUGGGCCCAGUGUAUCAUGUUUUUGACAGAUGUCCUAUCCGGAUAGUGGGAUGUGUACACAUCCAGCCGCGUCUGCAAGGAAACACGUUCAAGUUACCGUUGGUUUCCAAUGGAUAGGAGCGAGGAUGGCAGUUGCCAGAUGAUGCAAAAGAGCUACUGCUGAGUCAUGCUGCCUGAGAGUUGGGUCAGGUUCAGGAAUGUAAUUUUCAUUAAAAAUCAAUUCCUCUGAGACAGCUCCAGGGAGAGUAUGGUGAUGGAGGAUGAGGUACCCCUAGCUCCUGGAGAUACCUCAUCUAGGCUCAGGGACGGUGCUCAAGACCUUAGUGACUACCCAUGGUCACUCAGAUGCUGCUUCAGCAGACUUGAUGUAGAGUGGGUAGGAGCAGGGGCUGCACCCCAGGGGUGCUGGUGGGAGGUACAGCUGGUCUCAGUGACAGGCAGCCCUAACCCAGAGAUGCUAUCAAGUGCCACCUGGUCACUGAUGUUCACCCAGCAGAGCCUGGGACUUUUCCUACCCAGGGAGGAGAAGCAGCAAAAGAGGGAUCUGGCAGAGGGCACACAUUGCCCUUGCAGCAUCUGCUUGCCUGUGAGCACCAGGUGUAAGCGGCUAGAGCCGGCUGGGCUGGGUGUUUGGCAGGGAGGGGACAGGCUGCAGACAGAGGGGUCGGCAGAGCCAGUGGGUGCUGCUGGGUGCCCCUGAGCAGUGCACCCUGGGGCUCCGGCUCCGUCACCCCCACAGAGGGCAGCGCUCUCACCAUGUUGAGGUUCUUCUCAUUGUAGCCACCCAACAGAAAGAGGAGGUUGGCACAGGGCUUGUGCAGCAGCGGGUGCCUGCACAGCUGGGGAAGAAAACCCCACAGCUUCCUUAUCCGUAGCGAGGCAUCGGUUCUGCCGAGCAGAAGCUGCAGAAGCAAAGGGCAAAGUUGAUUUCUUGUGUUUCCCUUCCUGCAGCCUAGCCUUUGGACUGCCUCCCUUGACCUGCCACUGGCCAGUGUCCCCGUGAGCUGUCCCACCAGCUGGGCGGUGAGGGGAUGUGAAGCCCAGGGAGCCUGCAGAAGUCAAACCUGCUUCUCCUUUGCCCUCCUGCCUCUCUGAGAUCUGUACAGGUCAUUGCAGGAGGUGAUGCUGUUUGAAUGAACACCAGGCAGUCUGUUUGGGAAUUCAACAAGAGCCCCCAUAGAAAGACCAGUUUCAACACCUGACGCUCCUACAGGUGGAAGGCAGGCAUGCACUCAACAAAGUGACCACGCAGGAGUGUGCCUCACCUGAAUCGUGUCUGUGCUUAGGAACCAGCAGGAAAUAACUGUUUUCUGCUGCAUCGGAUAGCCCGUGGACUGCAUCUAGGCACAAUCCCUUUUCUAGUGUUUGGGGGAGGAGAGCAUAGAGUAAUCUCCUACCGGAAACAUCCUGAAUUGCCUGUCCAGAAGGAAGGACAUUUUCACGAUGGGACUUUUGGCAUGCUUGAUUGUCACUGCUGGAGCCAGGGCAAAAAACAUUCUGAUUUUCUGAGCCAGUUCUGGCAUAGAUGAAAAUGCAAUGAAUGCUGAGAAAACAGAAAAACAGCCUGAGACGUGGUCAAUCUUUCUUCAGGUGCUUAAUCUGAGGGUUCACUUGGACCUGCUGCCCAGAGCUGUUUAGCUGGCAUUAUCUCCAAUUAGGAACCUGGGAUCUCUUGCCACCUUUCUGCUUACACAUUGGUGCUAGAGAUGUCCAAAAGGAGACAAUGCCUUUAUUCCUACAGUUAGAAGUGACUGAUGAGGCAUUUCAGCGACUAACACUGAUGGGAAGUCCUGCCCCAGCAAUACUGUCACCUUCCAGCAACCACUGCUAAAGGGUGUCAUCAUCACAGAGGUUAUCUUAUACCCCUGAUGGCUCAACUGGUAAAAAGGAGCACCGUGCAUUUCAUCAGAAAGCAGAAGCUGUGAUGUCCGUGCAAAAUGCCUUUGGUUUUGAUGUGGAACACUUCAAUUCAGUUUUCUAGGCUGAAUUAUAGUUGCAGCAAGGAGCUUACUGAGGUCACCAGGGGCUUUCUUACUACCCUAGAGCAUCCUCCCAGAUGUCUCAUAUAGAAAGCACGACUGCUGUGGGAAUUCUCCCUGCAAGAGACCUUCUACCUAGCCUGCCUGCUCAGCAGCCCACAAAGAUGGGACCUCUCUGCUUUCUGCUUACAAACACCAAAAUUAACAUUUUCAAGGUGGUCCAGGCAAUGUCAUGUGCAACCCCUGCUAACGCACCGAUCGUGCAGCCCUGGGAGUAGCCAACAUAAUAUAUCUGCUUCUGCCCAGUCUUCUGCAGAACAAAGUUGAUCAUGGCUGGGAGGUCGUACAUUGCCAUUUCAUGAAAGCUGCAACACAGGAGCAGUGCAUUGGUUAUAAGGUAACACCAGGAGAGCAAACUCACCUGUGAAUUUUGGCUGUCUUUUAUCGCUCAUAUCUGUGGCUGAUUUUCCAGGAGAAAAUUCCUAUGAGCUAGGAGAGCCCUGUGCUGGGGGAGACUGCAUAGAGUCUGAAGGCAUCCCACCUCUCAUGUCCUCACCCUUCCCUGAAACGGCUUAGUCCUCCCAUAACCAUGGUUAGCGGUAAAGAAACUGUGCUGAGCCUGGCCAGCUGUGCAUUACACAGCAGCUCUGCAGACCCAGAGCUGGCUCUCGUCAGGAUUACAGCACCAGCUCUGCUCCAGAGAUGCUCUUUCCCAGAAGGGAAUGGAGCACCAGUUCCUGCCUAUGUGCCUUUUAGUGUGAUAUGGUGAAGCAAAGACCUUCUUUUUCUCAAUGGAAGCAUGUUUAUGAGCUUGGGAAAUCCAGGACUGCUCUGAAGAUCAGCUCUGGAGGGGCAGUAGCAGCUUAAAAAGCCACUCUUGGGACAAGGAUUCUGUGGACAAUGUCUAGGAGAAGAGGAGGUGGCAAUGAUGCUUGUGGGCACCUUGCCGGGGGGCUUGGCUGGGGAGGUCCCUGCAGAGGCCCUAAGGUAGGGCUGGUGUCUCUGCAGGAUGGGCAUCCCCACUCAGGCAGCAGUGCCCUGUGCUCUCGGCAGGGCCAGGCAGCUGUAGAGCUGUUGGCACCGUGUCAGCAGGCAGGUCUGCACAGGUACCUCCAUCCUCCCCAAACACAUCGCCAGGAGGUCUGGGGGAGGCCAUACCUGGGGAUUAGGUGCUCUGACUUGCCUGCUUGGAGGCACCCACCUCUGCCUAGAGGUUAGUGACAGGCAGAGAAGUUUGUUGCACUUUUGUAAUCUGCUCCAGCUCACCUGAAAUCCCAGAAUUCAACCUGGUCAGCUGAAAGUUGCUGGUGUCUCUGUGACCAGCUUGUCCCCCGGCUGUUUCCCAGCCAGACGUCAUAGCCAGAAUCUGCUAGUAUGAAGCCAAGGCUGUUGUUAGCCAGAUUUUCCACCCAGUGGCUGCCUUCUCCAAGUAACCCAUGCUGGAGAAACACAACUGGCUUGGGCCCUGGAUGUGAAAGAAACAGUGCAUUUUAUUGAACCGGAAUUUCUUUACUUACUAACCCCAAAUUCAGGCCAAUAAAGCCUCUUGCACUGCCAGUGUGCAUUUUCUUGAUGUCUCCUGGUGAAGAAAUCCUUGCUGUAGUUGUCUCGUGGUGGUUGCCUUGUUGUCUCAGGCUACAGGGCUGUGGGUAUUCCUCCUAAGCCUUUCAGAUCCCAGGUGCUCAUCCCUGCAAGCUCAGCACCGUGGCCACUGGCAGCAACCAUGUGAAAGCUCAGAUGACAGACUCAUCCCUGAGAUCAUUCAAACCCCAAAGUCACAAAUUGAUGGGCAAAAAAUUAAAUGAGGAGCUCUCUCAAGAGAUGCCUGCACCUUCUGAGACGAAAUUGGAGGAAUACCAUGGAUUUGGUAUUUUUGCUUUAAUGAUGAAUACUCCCCUGGCCUGGUAAAGCUGAUCCCUUCACCUGCUUGUUAUGUUAAGGGUUUGAGUUUUCUUUUGCUAGCUUCCUUUUGAAAUGGAGAUUUACCUCUGUUCCUAGGAUUUUCUCUCCCAUGAGGAAUUCUGUUCAGGCUGACAUAGUAGCCGUCGCGAGUCAGGACUUCAUACUCCUCGCUGGGGUACCCUCUGUGGCAGAUAAUUUGGCUCUGGGGAAAGAAAAACCCCAAUGGAAAGCUUUCUAUAGCCGAGGUAUUCAUUUGGCUCAAAGGGCACGUCCCUCAUCUGCUGGGAUGCCUUUGCAAAACAGAAACACUGUGGCAGCUGGGCAUUACUUUGACUGGGGUGUCUCUGGAUCAGCUGAGGACUUUUUUGAGAGAGGAUGCUCUGUCCAAAACCAGCACACAUGGUGACCCGAGCCCCUUCCACAUACAUACCCUCCAUCCCUCUCUCCCCCAGCUAAAUGUCUGCAAACUUUCAGACUGAGUGGAAUUUCAAACUUCUGACUUACAACAUUCAUGAAAGUCUCAGGGUUUAUAGCCUUUUUCUGCUCGAUGGCAUCUGCUGAGUUUGUGGGUGCUUGUAUCGAAACGAGGACUGCCAUAAGCAACCACAUCUUGUGUCUGUGUAAAACAUAUUAUUAUUAUUAUUGUUGCUAUUGUUACUGUUAUCAUUGUUAUUAUUAUAUAACGUUGCUAUGAA
This is a non-coding RNA of Phalacrocorax carbo (great cormorant), 5095 nucleotides long. Lineage: Eukaryota; Metazoa; Chordata; Aves; Suliformes; Phalacrocoracidae. The record is from RefSeq and is a predicted model, not a curated record.